GAUGAACGCUGGCGGCGUGCCUAAUACAUGCAAGUCGAACGGAGAAUGUAGCAAUACGUUCUUAGUGGCGAACGGGUGAGUAACGCGUUGGUGACCUGCCCCGAAGAGGGGGAUAACAGUUCGAAAGGAUUGCUAAUACCCCAUGUGGUCACUGGGAUUAGAUGCCCGGUGACUAAAGGAGUCUCUUCACUUCGGGAGGGGCCUGCGUCCCAUCAGCUAGUUGGUAGGGUAAUGGCCUACCAAGGCGAUGACGGGUAGGGGACCUGAGAGGGUGGCCCCCCACAAUGGAACUGAAACACGGUCCAUACACCUACGGGUGGCAG
RNAcentral lists this ribosomal RNA (323 nucleotides) under uncultured Chloroflexota bacterium. RNAcentral describes it as "bacterial SSU rRNA". It matches the Rfam family "Bacterial small subunit ribosomal RNA", at positions 28 to 351 of the family's 1533-position model. Lineage: Bacteria; Bacillati; Chloroflexota. The record is from RNAcentral.